Molecule: long non-coding RNA, 996 nt
Filed under: Salmo salar (Atlantic salmon)
Lineage: Eukaryota; Metazoa; Chordata; Actinopteri; Salmoniformes; Salmonidae
Description: lncRNA (ENSSSAG00000102833.1)
Source: RNAcentral
ACACACAAACAGAACCGUUUUCAUGCACUUCUUUAAUAUAUCUGUUUUUCCAUAUUCACAACAAAUACAUUAAGCUCUUUCAUCAUCUUUUUAUAUAAUACAGUUCUUAAAUUAUUUCAUUUUUUUUUUUUUUUACACAACAUUUUUUUCUCAGAAUGUCAUUCUAUCAAAAUGUCUUCUUAAUCCCUUUAUUUCUUCAUUUUAAAACAUUUUAUAUAUCUCAUUCCAUGUUGAGAGUCACCAUGCCUCCUAUUUAAAAACGGCCAGUAUCUCCUUUAUACAGCUAUUUACAGACGACAACAAUCAUCUUCCAGAAGGAUGAAGGUCUCAGUUGGAGGGGGCUUGUGGGAAACGUAGGCUUAAGGUGCAGGCAAGGACAGAUGGGGGGGUUACAGAAAAUAAAAAGAACAGCGAGAAAGGUUAGAAACCGUCUUACAGUAAAGUAAUACAAAUAGAAGUAAACCAUAACAGGCAAAGCUUUGAUGGAGAGAGGGACAACUCAACAGGUUGUCAGUAGAGUCCCAUAGCUUUGAUGGAGAGAGGGACAACUCAACAGGUUGUCAGUAGAGUCUCAUAGCUUUGAUGGAGAGAGGGACAACUCAACAGGUUGUCAGUAGAGUCUCAUAGCUUUGAUGGAGAGAGGGACAACUCAACAGGUUGUCAGUAGAGUCCCAUAGCUUUGAUGGAGAGAGGACAACUCAACAGGUUGUCAGUAGAGUCCCAUAGCUUUGAUGGAGAGAGGACAACAGGUUGUCAGAGUCUCAUAGCUUUGAUGGAGAGAGGGACAACUCAACAGGUUGUCAGUAGAGUCUCAUAGCUUUGAUGGAGAGAGGGACAACUCAACAGGUUGUCAGUAGAGUCUCAUAGCUUUGAUGGAGAGAGGGACAACUCAACAGGUUGUCAGUAGAGUCUCAUAGCUUUGAUGGAGAGAGGGACAACUCAACAGGUUGUCAGUAGAGUCUCAUAGCUUUGAUGGAGAGAGGGACAACUCAACAG